GCCCUACGGGGGGCUGCAGGCGCGAAAACUUCACAAUGUGCGAAAGCACGAUGAGGGGAUCCCAAGUGUUGGUUCGUAAGAAUCAUCUGUUUCUUUGUCUAAAAAAUAAAGAGAGUAAGAGCUGGGUAAGACGGGUGCCAGCCGCCGCGGUAAUACCUGCAGCUCAAGUGGUGGCCGCUAUUAUUGGGCCUAAAACGUCCGUAGCCGGUUUAGUAAAUGCUUGGGUAAAUUGUGUAGCUUAACUAUACGAAUACCGGGUAGACUGCUAAACUUGGGACCGGGAGAGGCUAGAGGUACUCCUAGGGUAGAGGUGAAAUUCUGUAAUCCUAGGGGGACCACCAGUGGCGAAGGCGUCUAGCCAGAACGGGUCUGACGGUGAGGGACGAAGCCCUGGGGCGCAAACCGGAUUAGAUACCCUAGUAGUCC
Molecule: ribosomal RNA, 426 nt
Filed under: Escherichia coli
Lineage: Bacteria; Pseudomonadati; Pseudomonadota; Gammaproteobacteria; Enterobacterales; Enterobacteriaceae
Description: bacterial SSU rRNA
Rfam family: Archaeal small subunit ribosomal RNA
Source: RNAcentral